AUGCUCAGGUGGUUCUGCUCCAUGUUUGUGGUUCUGGACCUUCUAUCAGGUGUCUGUGUUGGACGACUGACUCCAGCCAUGGUCCAAGAGUCAUAUGAAGAAGGCAGAGCUGUCACUCUGUCUUGCACCAUCUCUCCACGGGCUGAUGACCGGGACCGGCUGACCUGGUACCGACAGCACCCUGGAGGAUCACUGGAACGUCUGGUAUCUCACUUAGCAAUGGAAAAAGAAGUGAUGCGUCCAGGCCUGACUGCUGGAGUGACGGCUGACAGAAACCAGAUGGAGCUGAAGAUCACGUCUGCUGCAGUGACGGACUCUGCUGUCUACUUCUGUGCUCUGGAGCCCACAGGGGCGGAGUUCCCACCCUUCAUCUGCCACCAGAGGGCGACAGCUGACUCCAUGUGA
Non-coding RNA from Synchiropus splendidus (mandarinfish), 405 nucleotides. The record is from the annotation of a RefSeq genome assembly. NCBI's taxonomy places the organism in Eukaryota, Metazoa, Chordata, Actinopteri, Syngnathiformes, Callionymidae.